ACUCCUACGGGAGGCAGCAGUGGGGAAUAUUGGACAAUGGGGGAAACCCUGAUCCAGCAAUGCCGCGUGUGUGAAGAAGGCCUGAGGGUUGUAAAGCACUUUCAACUGUGAGGAUUGGGUAUUUUGGUUAAUACCCGAGAUCCUUGACGUUAGCAGUAGAAGAAGCACCGGCUAACUCCGUGCCAGCAGCCGCGGUAAGUACGGAGGGUGCAAGCGUUAAUCGGAAUUACUGGGCGUAAAGCGUCUGUAGGCGGCUUAUUAAGUCGGAUGUGAAAUCCCAGGGUCUUAACCUUGGAACUGCAUUCGAUACUGGUAGGCUAGAGUGUGUAAGAGGAUAGUGGAAUUCCGAGGUGUAGCGGUGAAAUGCGUAGAUAUCGUGGAGGAACAGUCGAGUGGCGAAGGUCGACUGUCUGGUACAACACGUGACGCUCGAGAGACGAAAGCGUGGG
This 449-nucleotide ribosomal RNA is filed under the name uncultured bacterium. RNAcentral describes it as "bacterial SSU rRNA". It matches the Rfam family "Bacterial small subunit ribosomal RNA", at positions 335 to 765 of the family's 1533-position model. The record is from RNAcentral.